Molecule: long non-coding RNA, 813 nt
Organism: Scleropages formosus (Asian bonytongue)
Lineage: Eukaryota; Metazoa; Chordata; Actinopteri; Osteoglossiformes; Osteoglossidae
Exons: 3
Source: RefSeq, a predicted model, not a curated record
GGAAGCUCCUCCCUGGCUGAGUUACAUGUCAGGGUUUCAUAACAACAGCAACGAGAGCAGCAGUGCGCGGUUGUCCGGUUGAACGGCUCCGAUAAGUGUUUUCGUCAAACGAUAAGAAAUCACACUCGCUGUACACCUGGAAAGUGGCCGUUAAAGGGACAGAAAUGGUAUGACUUCUUAUUAAAGCCAGCAGCUACGUGGUGAGGAAGAUCAGAGCCUCGAUCGCUGAGAAGGAGCAGGCGGAGGAGGGCGAGGGGAAGGUCUUCACACCAUGCAGCAGGUCUAAAGAUAAGGCAAAGGUGCCUCUUGGUUCUGAGCCACCAGCCGCCAUGCUGACCUCUGGCCCCGAGGGAGCUACUGCCGCCCCAUCGACUGAGACUGCAGUGCAGAAAUGUGGAACGUGACGUUAGCGCUGCACUGGGUGUCAUGAUGGAGGGUAGGGAGUUUGGAGUGAGAGAUCUGGUUCUAACGUAGGGGACUAUAGCCAGCCAUUGCAAAAUCUGGUUUACCUGUUUACCUAUUCACCUGUACCUGUAAAGCCCUAGAACACCUAUGCUGAUUUAUAUCUUUUAUGUAAGAACUGUAAGUGCAGUUUCAGUAGGGUAAAUGUGAAAGUAAUUUGAACCCGCCCCAGCUCCCUUACCUAUGGCACUCCAGUGACAGCUUUGCUCACUCUGCUUCUUGCUUGCAGUCCAUGCAGUGCUGCAGCGAGUGAUGGCCUGUUCACCAACCCCUAUGUCUAGGGACCGAGCAAGCCUGAUUUUUCCUACUGUAGCCAUGCAAUCUGGUAUAAUAAAGAGUUUGGUGUCCUCA